This 443-nucleotide ribosomal RNA is filed under the name uncultured bacterium. RNAcentral's name for it is "partial 16S ribosomal RNA". It matches the Rfam family "Bacterial small subunit ribosomal RNA", at positions 338 to 795 of the family's 1533-position model. The record is from RNAcentral.
CCUACGGGAGGCAGCAGUGGGGAAUAUUGGGCAAUGGGCGCAAGCCUGACCCAGCAACGCCGCGUGAAGGAAGAAGGCUUUCGGGUUGUAAACUUCUUUUCUCAGGGACGAAGCAAGUGACGGUACCGGAGGAAUAAGCCACGGCGAACGACGUGCCAGCAGCCGCGGCAAUACGUAGGUGGCAAGCGUUAUCCGGAUUUACGGGGUGUAAAGGGCGUGUAGGCGGGACUGCAAGUCAGAUGUGAAAACCACGGGCUCAACCUGUGGCCUGCAUUUGAAACUGUAGUUCUUGAGUACUGGAGAGGCAGACGGAAUUCCUAGUGUAGCGGUGAAAUGCGUAGAUAUUAGGAGGAACACCAGUGGCGAAGGCGGUCUGCUGGACAGCAACUGACGCUGAGGCGCGAAGGCGUGGGGAGCGAACAGGAUUAGAUACCCGGGUAGUC